This 495-nucleotide ribosomal RNA is filed under the name uncultured bacterium. RNAcentral's name for it is "partial 16S ribosomal RNA". It matches the Rfam family "Bacterial small subunit ribosomal RNA", at positions 28 to 507 of the family's 1533-position model. The record is from RNAcentral.
GACGAACGCUGGCGGCGUGCCUAAUACAUGCAAGUAGAACGCUGAAGGAGGAGCUUGCUUCUCUGGAUGAGUUGCGAACGGGUGAGUAACGCGUAGGUAACCUGCCUGGUAGCGGGGGAUAACUAUUGGAAACGAUAGCUAAUACCGCAUAAUAGUAGAUGUCGCAUGACAUUUGCUUAAAAGGUGCAAUUGCAUCACUACCAGAUGGACCUGCGUUGUAUUAGCUAGUUGGUGAGGUAACGGCUCACCAAGGCAACGAUACAUAGCCGACCUGAGAGGGUGAUCGGCCACACUGGGACUGAGACACGGCCCAGACUCCUACGGGAGGCAGCAGUAGGGAAUCUUCGGCAAUGGACGGAAGUCUGACCGAGCAACGCCGCGUGAGUGAAGAAGGUUUUCGGAUCGUAAAGCUCUGUUGUAAGAGAAGAACGAGUGUGAGAGUGGAAGGUUCACACUGUGACGGUAUCUUACCAGAAAGGGACGGCUAACUACGUG